RNAcentral lists this ribosomal RNA (2773 nucleotides) under Escherichia coli. RNAcentral's name for it is "bacterial LSU rRNA". It matches the Rfam family "Bacterial large subunit ribosomal RNA". The record is from RNAcentral. Lineage: Bacteria; Pseudomonadati; Pseudomonadota; Gammaproteobacteria; Enterobacterales; Enterobacteriaceae.
AGCGUACACGGUGGAUGCCCUGGCAGUCAGAGGCGAUGAAGGACGUGCUAAUCUGCGAUAAGCGUCGGUAAGGUGAUAUGAACCGUUAUAACCGGCGAUUUCCGAAUGGGGAAACCCAGUGUGUUUCGACACACUAUCAUUAACUGAAUCCAUAGGUUAAUGAGGCGAACCGGGGGAACUGAAACAUCUAAGUACCCCGAGGAAAAGAAAUCAACCGAGAUUCCCCCAGUAGCGGCGAGCGAACGGGGAGCAGCCCAGAGCCUGAAUCAGUGUGUGUGUUAGUGGAAGCGUCUGGAAAGGCGCGCGAUACAGGGUGACAGCCCCGUACACAAAAAUGCACAUGCUGUGAGCUCGAUGAGUAGGGCGGGACACGUGGUAUCCUGUCUGAAUAUGGGGGGACCAUCCUCCAAGGCUAAAUACUCCUGACUGACCGAUAGUGAACCAGUACCGUGAGGGAAAGGCGAAAAGAACCCCGGCGAGGGGAGUGAAAAAGAACCUGAAACCGUGUACGUACAAGCAGUGGGAGCACGCUUAGGCGUGUGACUGCGUACCUUUUGUAUAAUGGGUCAGCGACUUAUAUUCUGUAGCAAGGUUAACCGAAUAGGGGAGCCGAAGGGAAACCGAGUCUUAACUGGGCGUUAAGUUGCAGGGUAUAGACCCGAAACCCGGUGAUCUAGCCAUGGGCAGGUUGAAGGUUGGGUAACACUAACUGGAGGACCGAACCGACUAAUGUUGAAAAAUUAGCGGAUGACUUGUGGCUGGGGGUGAAAGGCCAAUCAAACCGGGAGAUAGCUGGUUCUCCCCGAAAGCUAUUUAGGUAGCGCCUCGUGAAUUCAUCUCCGGGGGUAGAGCACUGUUUCGGCAAGGGGGUCAUCCCGACUUACCAACCCGAUGCAAACUGCGAAUACCGGAGAAUGUUAUCACGGGAGACACACGGCGGGUGCUAACGUCCGUCGUGAAGAGGGAAACAACCCAGACCGCCAGCUAAGGUCCCAAAGUCAUGGUUAAGUGGGAAACGAUGUGGGAAGGCCCAGACAGCCAGGAUGUUGGCUUAGAAGCAGCCAUCAUUUAAAGAAAGCGUAAUAGCUCACUGGUCGAGUCGGCCUGCGCGGAAGAUGUAACGGGGCUAAACCAUGCACCGAAGCUGCGGCAGCGACGCUGAUGCGUUGUUGGGUAGGGGAGCGUUCUGUAAGCCUGCGAAGGUGUGCUGUGAGGCAUGCUGGAGGUAUCAGAAGUGCGAAUGCUGACAUAAGUAACGAUAAAGCGGGUGAAAAGCCCGCUCGCCGGAAGACCAAGGGUUCCUGUCCAACGUUAAUCGGGGCAGGGUGAGUCGACCCCUAAGGCGAGGCCGAAAGGCGUAGUCGAUGGGAAACAGGUUAAUAUUCCUGUACUUGGUGUUACUGCGAAGGGGGGACGGAGAAGGCUAUGUUGGCCGGGCGACGGUUGUCCCGGUUUAAGCGUGUAGGCUGGUUUUCCAGGCAAAUCCGGAAAAUCAAGGCUGAGGCGUGAUGACGAGGCACUACGGUGCUGAAGCAACAAAUGCCCUGCUUCCAGGAAAAGCCUCUAAGCAUCAGGUAACAUCAAAUCGUACCCCAAACCGACACAGGUGGUCAGGUAGAGAAUACCAAGGCGCUUGAGAGAACUCGGGUGAAGGAACUAGGCAAAAUGGUGCCGUAACUUCGGGAGAAGGCACGCUGAUAUGUAGGUGAAGUCCCUUGCGGAUGGAGCUGAAAUCAGUCGAAGAUACCAGCUGGCUGCAACUGUUUAUUAAAAACACAGCACUGUGCAAACACGAAAGUGGACGUAUACGGUGUGACGCCUGCCCGGUGCCGGAAGGUUAAUUGAUGGGGUUAGCGCAAGCGAAGCUCUUGAUCGAAGCCCCGGUAAACGGCGGCCGUAACUAUAACGGUCCUAAGGUAGCGAAAUUCCUUGUCGGGUAAGUUCCGACCUGCACGAAUGGCGUAAUGAUGGCCAGGCUGUCUCCACCCGAGACUCAGUGAAAUUGAACUCGCUGUGAAGAUGCAGUGUACCCGCGGCAAGACGGAAAGACCCCGUGAACCUUUACUAUAGCUUGACACUGAACAUUGAGCCUUGAUGUGUAGGAUAGGUGGGAGGCUUAGAAGUGUGGACGCCAGUCUGCAUGGAGCCGACCUUGAAAUACCACCCUUUAAUGUUUGAUGUUCUAACGUUGACCCGUAAUCCGGGUUGCGGACAGUGUCUGGUGGGUAGUUUGACUGGGGCGGUCUCCUCCUAAAGAGUAACGGAGGAGCACGAAGGUUGGCUAAUCCUGGUCGGACAUCAGGAGGUUAGUGCAAUGGCAUAAGCCAGCUUGACUGCGAGCGUGACGGCGCGAGCAGGUGCGAAAGCAGGUCAUAGUGAUCCGGUGGUUCUGAAUGGAAGGGCCAUCGCUCAACGGAUAAAAGGUACUCCGGGGAUAACAGGCUGAUACCGCCCAAGAGUUCAUAUCGACGGCGGUGUUUGGCACCUCGAUGUCGGCUCAUCACAUCCUGGGGCUGAAGUAGGUCCCAAGGGUAUGGCUGUUCGCCAUUUAAAGUGGUACGCGAGCUGGGUUUAGAACGUCGUGAGACAGUUCGGUCCCUAUCUGCCGUGGGCGCUGGAGAACUGAGGGGGGCUGCUCCUAGUACGAGAGGACCGGAGUGGACGCAUCACUGGUGUUCGGGUUGUCAUGCCAAUGGCACUGCCCGGUAGCUAAAUGCGGAAGAGAUAAGUGCUGAAAGCAUCUAAGCACGAAACUUGCCCCGAGAUGAGUUCU